UAGGGAAUCUUCGGCAAUGGGGGGAACCCUGACCGAGCAACGCCGCGUGAGUGAAGAAGGUUUUCGGAUCGUAAAACUCUGUUAUUAGGGAAGAACAUAUGUGUAAGUAACUGUGCACAUCUUGACGGUACCUAAUCAGAAAGCCACGGCUAACUACGUGCCAGCAGCCGCGGUAAUACGUAGGUGGCAAGCGUUAUCCGGAAUUAUUGGGCGUAAAGCGCGCGUAGGCGGUUUUUUAAGUCUGAUGUGAAAGCCCACGGCUCAACCGUGGAGGGUCAUUGGAAACUGGAAAACUUGAGUGCAGAAGAGGAAAGUGGAAUUCCAUGUGUAGCGGUGAAAUGCGCAGAGAUAUGGAGGAACACCGGUGGCGAAAGCGGCUCUCUGGUCUGUAACUGACGCUGAGGCUCGAAAGCGUGGGGAGCGAACAGGAUUAGAUACCCUGGUAGUCCACGCCGUAAACGAUGAGUGCUAGGUGUUAGGUCCUUUCCGGGACUUAGUGCCGCAGCUAACGCAUUUAAGCACUCCGCCUGGGGAGUACGACCGCAAGGUU
RNAcentral lists this ribosomal RNA (550 nucleotides) under uncultured bacterium. RNAcentral's name for it is "bacterial SSU rRNA". It matches the Rfam family "Bacterial small subunit ribosomal RNA", at positions 355 to 895 of the family's 1533-position model. The record is from RNAcentral.